UUGGCCUCUUGGGCUCUUGGGCUCCCCAGCAUAAAAAUCAAUCAUGAACUAGACAUAUUUUUUUGGCGCGCCGGCUGCAAGUAGUGAAUGACUCCCCACCAAUCCAGAAGGCCACUCGGCAAUGGCAGAUAUGUCCACGCACUGAUUCGCCAAUUGUGCUGUCUGUCCCACAUGCAUGGAUGCAUGUUGGGUCAAUCAUCUCCAGAGCUCAGAGGACACAGCUCUGCAUAGGAGGAGUCGGAAAACGAAGGGACAGCCCCAUGGUGUGCACUUUUUGUGGAGCUCAACUGCUGCCAAGGAUUAUGCUGUGAGAUUGGCUGCGAAGCCGGUCCUGGGGGAAAGAAAUUUACAGAGG
RNAcentral lists this small RNA (355 nucleotides) under Histoplasma capsulatum var. duboisii H88. Its description in RNAcentral is "Histoplasma capsulatum H88 hypothetical RNA". Lineage: Eukaryota; Fungi; Ascomycota; Eurotiomycetes; Onygenales; Ajellomycetaceae. The record is from RNAcentral.